RNAcentral lists this ribosomal RNA (266 nucleotides) under uncultured bacterium. Its description in RNAcentral is "partial 16S ribosomal RNA". It matches the Rfam family "Bacterial small subunit ribosomal RNA", at positions 88 to 354 of the family's 1533-position model. The record is from RNAcentral.
UGAGUUAGUGGCGGACGGGUGAGUAACGCGUGGAUAACCUGCCGUAUACCGGGGGAUAACACUUAGAAAUAGGUGCUAAUACCGCAUAAGCGCACGGCUCCGCAUGGGGCAGUGUGAAAAACUCCGGUGGUAUAAGAUGGACCCGCGUCUGAUUAGCUUGUUGGCGGGGUAACGGCCCACCAAGGCGACGAUCAGUAGCCGGCCUGAGAGGGUGGACGGCCACAUUGGGACUGAGACACGGCCCAAACUCCUACGGGAGGCAGCAG